CCUACGGGAGGCAGCAGUGGGGAAUCUUGCACAAUGGAGGAAACUCUGAUGCAGCGAUGCCGCGUGAGUGAAGAAGGCCUUUGGGUUGUAAAGCUCUUUUGUAGGGGAAGAUAAUGACUGUACCCUAAGAAUAAGGUCCGGCUAACUUCGUGCCAGCAGCCGCGGUAAUACGAAGGGACCUAGCGUAGUUCGGAAUUACUGGGCGUAAAGCGCGCGUAGGCCGUUGAGUUAGUUAAUUGUGAAAUCCCAAAGCUUAACUUUGGAACUGCAAUUAAAACUGCUCGACUAGAGUUUGAUAGAGGAAAGCGGAAUACAUAGUGUAGAGGUGAAAUUCGUAGAUAUUAUGUAGAACACCAGUUGCGAAGGCGGCUUUCUGGAUCAACACUGACGCUGAGGCGCGAAAGUAUGGGUGGCAAAGAGGAUUAGAUACCCUCGUAGUCCAUACCAUAAACGAUGAUUGCUAGAUGUUGGAAAUUUAUUUUCAGUAUCGCAGCUAACGCAUUAAGCAAUCCGCCUGGGGAGUACGACCGCAAGGUUAAAACUCAAAGGAAUUGACGGCUGAGAGUGCGACGACGACGACGAGGAGUAGG
Molecule: ribosomal RNA, 590 nt
Filed under: uncultured bacterium
Lineage: Bacteria
Description: bacterial SSU rRNA
Rfam family: Bacterial small subunit ribosomal RNA
Source: RNAcentral